RNAcentral lists this unclassified non-coding RNA (373 nucleotides) under uncultured fungus. RNAcentral's name for it is "partial contains 5.8S ribosomal RNA, internal transcribed spacer 2, and large subunit ribosomal RNA". Lineage: Eukaryota; Fungi. The record is from RNAcentral.
AACGCACCUUGCGCUCCUUGGCACUCCGAGGAGCACGCCUGUUUGAGUGUCAUUGAAUUCUCAAAUCCCCGCCUGUCUUUCCUUCUCUCAGCUCUCUUCCCGCGAGGGUGUGUGUGUGUUCGAGUCGGAAGUGGCAGCACGGCGGCUUUGGAUUGGUGGAGGUCUUUGCAGGGCCCAUCUCCUGCUCCUCUGAAAUGCAUUAGCAAGAAGCCAUGGUGGCGUCCACGCUCGUCGUCGGCAUGAUAAUUCUCAUCUCUUGCCAAUGGCCAAGCGGAACUGCUGCCCUGUCCCCUGCUCCCAAACUGUGCCAGAUUCUUCUGCACAAGUCUGACAUUCUGACCUCAAAUCAGGUGGGACUACCCACUGAACUUAA